UAGUAACGGCGAGCGAACAGGGAAGAGCCCAGCACUGAAUUGCGCGCCCUCACGGACGCUGCGAAAUGUAGUGUGUGGGAGAAUCCACUAUUUCGUAGUACAGCAUUGCGUCCAAGUCCUUCUUGAAGGGGGCCAUUUACCCAUAGAGGGUGCCAGGCCCGUAGCGACCAUUGCUUGCUGCGAAAGGAUUUCUCCUUAGAGUCAGGUUGCUUGAGAGUGCAGCCCUAAGUAGGUGGUAAACUCCAUCUAAGGCUAAAUAUGACCACGAGACCGAUAGCGAACAAGUACCGUGAGGGAAAGUUGAAAAGAACUUUGAAGAGAGAGUUCAAUAGUACGUGAAACCGUUUAAGUGUAAACCUGAGAAACCCGAAAGUUCGACCGGGGAGAUUCAGUGUGUUUCGGCGGGUGCGAGUGCCGAUCGACAGACAGUGUGGCCGCGUUCGCGCGCGCGCCCGCUGCUUCCUUCGUUGCGCCGUUUCCCUCGUCGAACGCAUGCACUUCUCCUCCAGUAGGACGUCACGACCUGUUGGGUGUCGGCCUACGGCUUGUGGUGGAGCUCGUUCAGUGUUUGCGCGCUCGUUCGAACCCACGAUGACCCGACCGGCUGCUCGACGGUACGAAUUUUUCGGCGCAAAGCCGCGAUGCACUCGCGUCCGGCCCGUCGCAAGCGUGAACGGUGAAUCGAACGUCGGACACAGCGCCGGCCUCGAAGCCAUUCAGCUGCCUUGGCGGCGGUGCUCUCGGACAGACUUUGUUCGCCCGUCUGUGACGCUAUAGCUUUGGGUAAUUUCAGGACCCGUCUUGAAACACGGACCAAGGAGUCUAGCAUGUAUGCGAGUCAUUGGGACUUGAUAAUCCUAACGGCGCAAUGAAAGCGAAGGCAGAGUUCGGCUCGGCCGAGGGAAGAUGGGCGACACUACACACGCCGCCUCGCAUUCCCAGGGCGUCUCAAUCACAUUGCGUGAUGAAGCGCACCCAGAGCAUACACGCUGGGA
Molecule: ribosomal RNA, 995 nt
Filed under: Pseudomimeciton sp. 2 JP-2017
Lineage: Eukaryota; Metazoa; Arthropoda; Insecta; Coleoptera; Staphylinidae
Description: eukaryotic LSU rRNA
Rfam family: Eukaryotic large subunit ribosomal RNA
Source: RNAcentral